This is a long non-coding RNA of Lagopus leucura (white-tailed ptarmigan), 3198 nucleotides long. RefSeq lists it as uncharacterized. Lineage: Eukaryota; Metazoa; Chordata; Aves; Galliformes; Phasianidae. The transcript has 2 exons. The record is from RefSeq and is a predicted model, not a curated record.
CAAGAAAAAUCAAGUUGUAACCAAGGAAAUUUGUUAGUAUGAAGCACUACUUUCAACUUCAUUUCAUCACAAAUUGCAACUUACUUAACAGACCAAAAGAACUAUGGUACUGCAGUACAUCAAAUACUUCACACACUGUGUUCUUUACUAUAGCACAUGUAACCUCUGCCAGGGAGACAGCAGUCUCUAGCCGAUAAAGACACUCUUCACAAUCUGAAUUCUAAAGGAAUGUUUGUAUACAUGGAAUUGGAAUAUAUAUAUUUACAGGAAGAUUCUUUUUUAGUAACUAUUUUGAUUCUUCAUUUCAAAUAAAAUACCAAAUACAUUUUUACAAUGUUUACAAGUCAAAGCACAAGUUCUGCAAUGAUUAUCAUUCACCUCAAGUCACUGUGCUUGUACUGGGGGAUAUCUACACUGCUCCAUAAACACAAAUGUGAUCUUCUGUAACUUUAUUUCUGCAACGGUGACAAAGGAGUAUAAGCACAGUAACAGUUAUUUUAGCACAAUCAGUGUAUAAUGCAACAGUUUGCAACAGAGAACUGAGAAACUAUUGGUCCAUUCUGUUCAAUUUGCUGUAUUUCUGCCAACUGUUACGUUUGUUGUCACAUAAAUUGUGUACAAGAGAAGAGUUAAAUAACACAACUUGAAUAGGAAAGAGCACACAUUUUUAAGGCAAAUUAACAAGCAGCUUAUGGUGUUUUUUGUCAAACUAUACCCCAACAGAACCUAAAAAUAAAAUGUGUGUUCUACAGCUGUCAAUAAUUAGGUUUUCUUGUUCUCCUCUAUAAAUUGAUCAACAUGGCUUUAAACCUGGUUAUUCAAAAUGGAAAGAACUCCUCCCCCCAAUCCCCAAAUAUAGAAAGUGCAUGACUUUUUAUGCGCCAAAACAAAACAAAAGGCAGCUGAGGUAGUUAGAUGUAAAAUGUAUUUACGAAAAAUAACUGAAAAACUAAAUCCAAGACAUUACACAGUAAAAAACCACCCAUUUGGAAUUGAUUCUAUAUCAUGCAAUAACUUAACGCUAAGCAGGAGACUCCGUGAUUCCUGAACAAAAGAAGAAAGUGAUUUUAGUAAUAAUAACAAAGGAAUGAACACAGAAUACACUAUUGGAAUUUGAAUUUCAAGUAUUUGAAUCCAUCUGCAUGUGCACUUUUUUUUUUUUAACAGGCUUUUUGUAGCAUUAGGAAGUAACUUACUCUUCAUCAGGCGUUGAGAACUGGUCUAACUCUGGUACUGUAGCUCCUGAAAGGCAGAAAUACAUCACAACGGCCUGAAGACGCACCACUGCCUGUUCAUGCCACCUCAGCUUGAGUGGACAUCUGUGCACCCGUCCUCUGCUGAGGCCACCUGAGAAGUCACAGGCCCAUGGGUUCCAUGCCUGUGUCUCAUGGGGACCUGAUGUGCUGGGGGCAUGCCUGGGGUGUUCUCAUGUCUGGAUCUUUGCACCACAGAGCCCCUAUCUCUUCUUGGACCUCGCAGCACAGAGCCCUAUCUCCUGGACCUCCCCUUCCUCAACCAGCGCUGCUGCAGAUCAGGCAACAUGGCAGCCUUUCCUCAUUUGGCAAGAGGGACUGUGUCCCAUGCCUACAGACAGGAGACUCCCCAAUGGAGCUUUGGCCUCAAUCUGCUCAGGAUAAAGAAGGGUUUGGGCCUGGAGUUCUGGCCUUAGCACAGGGGCAGGCCCGGCAUUCCCCCUGCAUCCUGCCUGGAAUCCCUACCUAAAUGCAAAAUCUGUGCGUGCAAGCACAAGAAGAGACUUCAGGGUCUGGAAAGGAGUUUUAUGAAUAAGAGUACUUCUAGAAGAUGGCAAAGUUGGAGGUUCUGCGUCCAGUGCUUGCAGUGAGAAGAUAAUCCUGUUUGCUAAUGCCCUGGAUCAAGUCCAGAAGUCACACUGGGUUUGACAUGGACCUGCAACAUGACAAAUAAUGAAUGUUAAGUCAGCAUUUGUGUAAAGAUGCAGGUAAGUGAGCGUGGGAACAAGAGCAGAGCCAGCUUGCACUGGUGAGACAGCCUUAUACAUGGAAGGGCACUUGAAAUAAAAUGCAGUGAUGCUCACUUGCUAGAAUAACACAAAGAAUAGACAGCAAAAUAUCUGUCCCAUUGUGUAGAACAAAUUAUGCAGAAGAGAGUUUCUGCCUUUGAGAAUAAAUGGUAACUGAGUUAAAGGAACUGCAGUUCAUUUGAAGAAUUGAACUUGCGAGAGGAUUUGCCUGCUGAUCCAGAGGGUUCCAGGUAAGUGGCUCUUCUGCCAGCAUCUCUAAAACAAAGGAAAUGUGGAUGCCCCAUCCCUGGAGAUGUCCAAGACCAGGUUGCAUGGGGCCCUGGGCAGCGUGAGCUGUUGGGUGGCAGCCCUGCCCAUGCCAUACACGGAGGUUGGGACGAUCUUUAAGAUCCCUUCCAACCCAAGCUAUUCUGUGAAUCUAUGAUUCUAUGAUACUUCAGGUUAUUAUGGGCAUGGGUAUCUUCUCUCAGCAGUGGGGAUUGCAUUGACACUCUUCAGCACAGGAAGGAAAUGGAAGCAAGGAAAAAAAAUCAUAACAAUGUCUAAUACAUCCUGCAAACUUGUUUGAGUGAACAUUUGAAGAAAACACAACUGUUACGAUGUGCUACACUUACAGAUCAUGCAUGAAGGUUAUGGACACCUCCACAGUGAUUUCCUCUGCAAGCCAGGGUGCUACUGUUCUCACUUAUAAAGAAGCAAAAAUUGACAACUUAUAGUGUGGUUAAAAGUCCUUCAGCAGUGAUGUGCACGAGAAGCUGAGUGAUGAAUACCUGAGCAUGAAGAAAUACCAUGAGGGCUCAUCUGCUCCAUGUAUUCACAGCUGUUCUCUAAUUGUAAUAAGACUUUUCCCACAUCAUCUACUAUCUCUGUCUUUAUUUUCACCUGGUUUACCAGUGAUCAUCUCCCUGCCCCAUGUACAUGCUCAUGAUGUGUAGAUGAGCAAGAUGAUGUCAGAACUACCUGCACUAAGGAAAUGUGAACUUAUGAAUCCACUAUUUGCUUAUUCUCACAUGUACUGCAUGAGAAACCAAGUGAAAAAGUGCACAAAGCACUUGAAUGACACCGAGCCUCUCCUAUUCCAUAUAAAGAAACGCCCACUUUAUGAGUCUAAUUUAAGUGAUAUGUUUUUGUGCAAGCCAUCUGACAUUUAUCCUCUGUAAAGAAAAAUAUGCAUUAAAAAGCCAUUUUUUUUCCUA